UACGGAGGGUGCGAGCGUUACCCGGAUUUACUGGGCGUAAAGGGCGUGUAGGCGGUUUUCUAAGUCCGGGGCUAAAGACCAGGGCUCAACCCUGGGUUUGCCUUGGAUACUGGAAAGCUCGACGGCGGGAGGGGGCAGCGGAAUUUCCGGAGUAGCGGUGAAAUGCGCAGAUACCGGAAGGAACGCCAAUAGCGAAGGCGGCUGCCUGGGCAGUACGUGACGCUGAGGCGCGACAGCGUGGGGAGCAAACCGG
RNAcentral lists this ribosomal RNA (253 nucleotides) under uncultured bacterium. RNAcentral describes it as "partial 16S ribosomal RNA". It matches the Rfam family "Bacterial small subunit ribosomal RNA", at positions 524 to 776 of the family's 1533-position model. The record is from RNAcentral.